Molecule: transfer RNA, 62 nt
Filed under: Sipunculus nudus (marine worm)
Lineage: Eukaryota; Metazoa; Annelida; Sipuncula; Golfingiida; Sipunculidae
Description: tRNA-Ser
Source: RNAcentral
AAGGAGACUUAUUGCCCGGCGCAACACGAUUUUGAAAGUCGUUAGAAAAGGUUCGACUCCUU